GUGCAGGAGGCUUGGUGAGGUGAUGCACUGAGUCCACAGGUCUGGGAACGAACCCAGUCAGCGACUCACUGCAUGCUCAAGUGUGUCUGAAUAAGUUAACUUCAAAACCAAACCGAGUGCUCAAGCCAAUGUCUCUCCACUGGUGAUGGAGAACAGCCUGGCAGAACUUUCCGCAUGGGUAGGUUCUGGGGAAUGAAUGGGGAGUCGGGAAAUCUGGGUGACAACUCUGGGUCUGCCACUAAUUGGCUCAAUGACCUCAGACAUGUUGCCUGACCUCUCUGAGUCUCAGCCUUCACAUCCCCAAAAUGACAGGCAGAUGAUCUAAUAGUCAGCCACUGAGUGUCUUCCAAGGCCUAUGGACUGAAUGCAACACCAAGGUUCCUGGAGAACCUGUUUCUGACCCAGGCAACCAUGCAAGUUGUGAAGCCAGAGGGGAGCUUGAGCACCAAGUUCAAGACGGCAGUCUUGCAAGGCUUUCCUCGAAGCAGCUCCUGCAGACUGGCUCUUUCACCUGAAACGCCGUAGUUUUGGACACAGAACCUUCGAGAGAAGAGCAAGGAUUUGGACUGUGGCCUGGAGACGGAAUCUGCAGCGCUCUUUCCCAAGGAAUGCAUCGCAGCCCCUCAGGCUGGAACAGGCAGGUGCUGUGAAAUCUGGCUGACAGGUGCAUGGGGUAAGAUGGCUGACUGGCAGAAGGAAGUUGUUCUCUGGGGUGUGUGUGACCCAAAGACCAAUGGAGGGAGGAAGAACAGAUGCUCCAAAUGGCCACUGCACUUCUCCAGUGUCUGAAGGGGUUUAAAGAGGCCCAAGACUGACAGAGCUUUCGAAGCCUUUCCUGCUCCCUGGGACUCACCUGAGUCUAGUCACGUUUCUGUUGGCGUAAGGAAGAAGAUUUUGCAACCACAUCCACCCAAUGAUAGAAUGGGAGUCCUCUCCACAUAGUGAGGGUGGACCCUGUGCUUGCUGCAAGGGCUGUGCCACUGUC
This 985-nucleotide long non-coding RNA is filed under the name Macaca nemestrina (pig-tailed macaque). Its description in RNAcentral is "lncRNA (ENSMNEG00000045883.1)". The record is from RNAcentral. Lineage: Eukaryota; Metazoa; Chordata; Mammalia; Primates; Cercopithecidae.